Molecule: non-coding RNA, 188 nt
Organism: Tinamus guttatus (white-throated tinamou)
Lineage: Eukaryota; Metazoa; Chordata; Aves; Tinamiformes; Tinamidae
Source: RefSeq, a predicted model, not a curated record
AAGGCAGGCGCCGCACUCCUGUUCUGGGCUAUUUCAACUUCAGGGCAACUUUAGAGAACUUCAGUUAUUUUUGGUUCUGGACGACAGCUGAGACCAGCAGAGCCUUCUGGAGAUGCUGAUGCUGAUGCAGAAGAUGAUGAUUCUGUUAAUGAAGUGGCAGUAGAAGAUAUCCGGCCAAGACCACAAGG